AUGCAAGUCGAACGCACCCUUCGGGGUGAGUGGCGCACGGCUGAGUAACACGUGGGAAUCUGUCGUCCAGUGGGGGAUAACGCAUCGAAAGAUACGCUAAUCCCGCAUACGUUCCGCAAGGAAGAAAGGCGCAAGUCGCUGGAUGAGGAGCCUGCGGCCCAUCAGGUAGUUGGAGAGGUAACGGCUCACCAAGCCAAUGACGGGUAGCUGGUCUGUGAGGACAACCAGCCAGACUGGGACUGAGAACGGCCCAGACUCCUACGGGAGGCAGCAGUAAGGAAUUUUCGUCAAUGGGGGAAACCCUGAACGAGCAACGCCGCGUGGAGGAUGACGGUUUUCGGAUUGUAAACUCCUUUUGUAUGGGACGAUAAUGACGGUACCAUACGAAUAAGCCCCGGCUAACUCUGUGCCAGCAGCCGCGGUAAUACAGAGGGGGCAAGCGUUGUCCGGAGUUACUGGGCGUAAAGCGCACGCAGGCGGUUGUGCAAGUGGGAUGUGAAACCACCGUGCUUAACACGGUGACGCCAUGCCAAACUGCACGACUAGAGUGGUGGAGAGGUUGUUCGAAUUGCCGGUGUAGUGGUGAAAUGCGUAGAGAUCGGCAGGAAGACCAAGGGCGAAAGCAGACAAC
Molecule: ribosomal RNA, 631 nt
Filed under: uncultured Chloroflexaceae bacterium
Lineage: Bacteria; Bacillati; Chloroflexota; Chloroflexia; Chloroflexales; Chloroflexaceae
Description: bacterial SSU rRNA
Rfam family: Bacterial small subunit ribosomal RNA
Source: RNAcentral